GUGGAUCGAACCGCUCACGUCCUGGUUCAAUCAGGUACUAGGAUUCCCCAUCCCAUACUAGGUAUGAGAUUAGUACUUUCAAACACUUGAUCACGAAUACUAUCACAUCUCGACCUUAGUCCAAUUUCAAGUAGACAGACGGGGCAAUCCACCGACCACCAAAAUAGUUCACAAGGCCCUACCCCGUCCACCGUCCUUAUAGUGGUGAUAAAGGAGAACAAGCAACUCCUAUAACUCGCGAGUGACAGGGAAUCACUCAAUUUUUACCGAGUCCUAUUAAGCACUGCAACUACUCGGCCUAUCAUACUAGUAUUCAGAUCAAGGGAAACUAAGUCAUGCAUCUAUGGUUUCAAACAACUCCUAUAACGUAAAUGCACAUACAUACAAAUGAAGGCAUGCGCAAGUUUAGAAAGAUUGGGUUAUGCUCCGGGGCUUGCAUUCGAGCGGGGUGGAAGCGAACAGGUCUCCGGUGCUCUC
This 477-nucleotide long non-coding RNA is filed under the name Setaria italica (foxtail millet). RNAcentral's name for it is "long non-coding RNA (SITA_LNC004928)". The record is from RNAcentral. Lineage: Eukaryota; Viridiplantae; Streptophyta; Magnoliopsida; Poales; Poaceae.